GCGCUGAUAGCUCAGUUGGAUAGAGCAUCUGCCUUCUAAGCAGAGGGUCGGGGGUUCGAAUCCCUUUCAGCGUGCCA
Molecule: transfer RNA, 77 nt
Filed under: Clostridiales bacterium
Lineage: Bacteria; Bacillati; Bacillota; Clostridia; Eubacteriales
Also listed under: 7 other names
Description: tRNA-Arg
Rfam family: tRNA
About the family: Transfer RNA (tRNA) molecules are approximately 80 nucleotides in length. Their secondary structure includes four short double-helical elements and three loops (D, anti-codon, and T loops).
Source: RNAcentral